This 277-nucleotide unclassified non-coding RNA is filed under the name air metagenome. RNAcentral describes it as "partial contains small subunit ribosomal RNA, internal transcribed spacer 1, and 5.8S ribosomal RNA". The stretch from base 1 to 46 matches the Rfam family "Eukaryotic small subunit ribosomal RNA", at positions 1786 to 1831 of the family's 1831-position model. The record is from RNAcentral.
AAGUCGUAACAAGGUUUCCGUAGGUGAACCUGCGGAAGGAUCAUUAAAAAGUCCAUACCUGACUCUUUGUCCGGCUCGCCCGGUUCAAAGUUUUAAACCAAUUUGUGAAAACAAAACCCUUUGCUUCGGUAGCAGGUUCGGGUCCCCCCUUUGGGAGGGGUCAGAGCCGUCAGCCUGCCGGCAGCGCCAAACCAAACCAAUUUUAUAUUCUGUUCUGUCUGAAAAAUCAUUUAAUGAAUGAAAAUUAAAACUUUCAACAACGGAUCUCUUGGUUCUC